CUACGGGGGGCAGCAGUGAGGAAUAUUGGUCAAUGGGCGCAAGCCUGAACCAGCCAUGCCGCGUGAAGGAUGACGGCCCUACGGGUUGUAAACUUCUUUUGUAAGGGAAGAAACCGCUCUACGUGUAGAGUUUUGACGGUACCUUACGAAUAAGCAUCGGCUAACUCCGUGCCAGCAGCCGCGGUAAUACGGAGGAUGCAAGCGUUAUCCGGAUUUAUUGGGUUUAAAGGGUGCGCAGGCGGAAAAUUAAGUCAGUGAUGAAAUCCUGCAGCUUAACUGUAGAACUGUUAUUGAUACUGGUUUUCUUGAAUAUAGUUGAGGUAGGCGGAAUGUGUAAUGUAGCGGUGAAAUGCUUAGAUAUUACACAGAACACCGAUUGCGAAGGCAGCUUACUAAGCUAUGAUUGACGCUGAGGCACGAAAGCGUGGGGAGCGAACAGGAUUAGAUACCCUAGUAAUC
Molecule: ribosomal RNA, 459 nt
Filed under: uncultured bacterium
Lineage: Bacteria
Description: partial 16S ribosomal RNA
Rfam family: Bacterial small subunit ribosomal RNA
Source: RNAcentral